Long non-coding RNA from Gossypium raimondii (Peruvian cotton), 377 nucleotides. RefSeq lists it as uncharacterized. The record is from RefSeq and is a predicted model, not a curated record. The transcript is spliced from 2 exons. NCBI's taxonomy places the organism in Eukaryota, Viridiplantae, Streptophyta, Magnoliopsida, Malvales, Malvaceae.
AAAAAAACAAUCUAAAACUCUCUGCUAGGGUUUUCCCUUAACACAACCCUAGCCGCCGCAGCCAAGCUAUUCCAUGGCCUCCGAUCCUCACCCACCUCCGAUUGCGACGGAGGGAACUAAGGUUCGACCACCAGGUACGUGGAAGACGUGCGUUGUGCGGAGCUGCUGUACGUUCGUGCGUGGAGGAGAACGUAUGGAGGGGGCGACGCUCGUGGGAAGCUGGAGGCAGCAGGUGAAGAUUCUAGGGUUUUCUGAUUUUUCAGUUUUGGGCUGAUUUGGGUUUUAGGGUAAUUGGGCUGGUGAAAUUGGGCCACAAACAUGUAAAAAUGGACAGUUUAUUGUUUUAUUUUAUAUUUGGGCUUUAGUAUUUGGUUUUU